RNAcentral lists this ribosomal RNA (520 nucleotides) under uncultured Glomus. RNAcentral describes it as "SSU rRNA". It matches the Rfam family "Eukaryotic small subunit ribosomal RNA", at positions 569 to 1088 of the family's 1831-position model. The record is from RNAcentral. Lineage: Eukaryota; Fungi; Glomeromycota; Glomeromycetes; Glomerales; Glomeraceae.
AGCAGCCGCGGUAAUUCCAGCUCCAAUAGCGUAUAUUAAAGUUGUUGCAGUUAAAAAGCUCGUAGUUGAAUUUCGGGAUCAAUUCGUCGGUCGUGCUUUCGGGUACGUACUGGUGUUUAUUGGUUUCUCCCUUCUGACGAACCAUGAUGUCAUUAAUUUGGUGUUAUGGGGAGUUAGGACUGUUACUUUGAAAAAAUUAGAGUGUUUAAAGCAGGCAUUAGCUUGAAUACAUUAGCAUGGAAUAAUGAAAUAGGACGUUCGAUCCUAUUUUGUUGGCUUCUAGGAUCAACGUAAUGAUUAAUAGGGAUGGUUGGGGGCAUUAGUAUUCAAUUGUCAGAGGUGAAAUUCUUGGAUUUAUUGAAGACUAACUACUGCGAAAGCAUUUGCCAAGGAUGUUUUCAUUAAUCAAGAACGAAAGUUAGGGGAUCGAAGACGAUCAGAUACCGUCGUAGUCUUAACCAUAAACUAUGCCGACUAGGGAUCGGAUGAUGUUAAUUAUUUAAUGACUCAUUCGGCGCCU